Ahaetulla prasina is the source of this 444-nucleotide long non-coding RNA. RefSeq lists it as uncharacterized. Lineage: Eukaryota; Metazoa; Chordata; Lepidosauria; Squamata; Colubridae. The record is from RefSeq and is a predicted model, not a curated record. The transcript is spliced from 3 exons.
CCUGCAGAAUCUUUUUGCAUUCCUAUAUUUGAAGAUACUUUUCCCCCCUUCAGUUUCAUUCAGAUAUGGGAAGCGAUCCAACUGCCUGAAAUGCUGUGGAGGCUUAUAUACCAAUUUGGAUUGUUUGUUCUCAAAGACCUUUGCAUAAUUGAAUAACAGAGUUGGAAGGGACCUUGGAAGUCUUGUAAAUCCCCUGCUCAAGGAGGAAGUCCUAAACCAUUUCAGGUAAAUGGUGGUCCAAUCUUUUCUUAAAAAUCUGGCAUGUGGGAGCAUCCACAAUUUCUGGAGGUGUUUACAGAUUCAUUGCUUAUCUUUUCUGGAAUCUUCCCAGGUGUUGAUGUCAGGCUGAUAGGUCUGUAGUUUUAUGGGAACUAUAUCAGCCCUUUUCCAGUCAUCUGGUAGUUCCCCAGUGCUCCAGGAUUUUCAAAAUAUGUGAUUCAGUAG